Molecule: long non-coding RNA, 3925 nt
Filed under: Piliocolobus tephrosceles (Ugandan red Colobus)
Lineage: Eukaryota; Metazoa; Chordata; Mammalia; Primates; Cercopithecidae
Description: lncRNA (ENSPTEG00000000101.1)
Source: RNAcentral
UUCGGUUAAUCAUUACAUUGUUAAUUGUGCUAAUAUAAAUGGUAACUAUGUCAGUCAAAAUGCCAAAAAUGUGUUUCCUAAUGUAAGCAUUAUGUACUCUGAUUUGUUCAUUAACAAUUUUUUAUAUUUUCUUAAAAAUGCGAAUUCAAAUAAAAAGUUAGAUAUAUACUAUUUUGGAAAACUAACAUCAAAACAAAAAAAUAUAUAUGUACAGGAAAAUCAAUUAAAUAAUGAAACGGAUAAUUCGUUAGAUAGUAAAAGUGAUGGUAUAAAAGAAAUUGAAAAGGAGCUAGCCAAAUUAAAUCAAUACGAAAUUUCAAAACAACAAAUAAAAAAUUAUGAACAAGUCAUAAAAAAUAAUGAUUUUUUACAAACAAAUGAACAAUGUAUGGACAGUCAAGAACAAGGAAAGUUUUGUUUUGUCCUUAAUAUUGACAGUAAAAAAGGAAAAAACGAGGAUAAAGAAGAUUAUAAUGAUGAGAUGAGUCACACACGAAAUAAAAAUUUAUAUAAAAACAAUAAAUUACGAAAAGAAUUAAUACAAUGUGGUCAUACACGAAACAAUAAAAACGGACGUAUGUUAAGCGAAGGAAACAACAACAAUAACACAAUUAACGACAUUAAUAUAAAUUCCUUUUUUGAAAGGGUAGUACAACUAGCGAAAGAAAAUGAACAAAAUGAUAACGUAAACAUAAAACAGCUAAAUAUACUUUUAAAAAUAAAAAAAAAUAAAAAAAAUAAUGAUAAUAAUAAUGCAAAAUUAAAAAAAAAAGAUAAUUUGACUAAAAAUGUUGAUAUUUUUGAAAAUAUUUGGAACAAUAAUAACGAACAGAAUUAUAAUAAUAUAACGAUGAGUAGUAACACACCUCCUAUUAACUAUAUCGAAACAAAUAAAAAACAGGAGGUAAAUAAAAAUAUACAUAUUAACCUUAACAAUCAUCUUUGUAACAACAAACAGAUUAAUAAAAAAGGCGUGAACGAUAACAUGUCUAAUGUACAAAACUAUGAAGGUAGUAGUAAUUUUUCACAUAACGUCACAAACCAACAAAGCGAAAAAAAAGGAAAAAGAGAGAAAAGUCAAAAAAGGGGAAAAAGCCAAAGAAGGGGAAAAAGCCAAAGAAGGGAAAAAAGCCAAAGAAGGGAAAAAAGCCAAAAAAAUGAAAUAAGCAAAAUGAGCAAAACUAAAAAUGUACGUAAAAAAGAAAGAAUAGAGUUAAAAAACCUUUUUUUACUCCAUUGUUAUAACAUAUUAAAAACGAAUAAAAUAAAUCUGUCAAAUUUGAUUAGUGAACAUAUGUUUGAGCAUGACUAUUUUUUUAAAAAUGACUUCUUGAAAACAUUUAAAGAACAAAUUAAAAAAAAAAAAAUUAAAAUGAAACGUGUUAAGAAUGUGGAUAAUGUAAAUGUGGGUAAUGUAAAUGUGGGUAAUGUAAAUGUGGGUANNNNNNNNNNUGUGGGUAAUGUAAAUGUGGGUAAUGUAAAUGUGGGUAAUGUAAAUGAGGAGGAACGAAGGAGAAAAAAUGAAAAUAAUAAAAAAAAUGAAAAUAAUAAAAAAAAUUACGAACAACCUAAUGGAUAUAAUGACCGUGAUGAGUGUAACAACAAAACUUAUAAUACCUAUGAAGGCAUUAGUAACAAUAAAUUAAACAAAAUAAGUAAUCAUACUUUGAAUAAAAUUAUGUUUAUCAGCAUAUUAUGUUUUUUGUACAAUUAUAGCAACAUAACAAUAUUACAGCAAGUUAUAUUGAAAUGUUUAACACUUUUAUCUAACUAUAUAAUAUAUAAAGAAGAUUUAAAAAAAUAUAAACAAAUAUUUCAUUAUUACUUUUUGAAAUUUAUUAAAAAAGAUAUAUCAAUAAAUAAAUUUAUAAAAGAAAAUAAUAAAACGAAUUCUAACAUAAAUAAAAUAAAUUAUUAUAAGGAUUAUAUUUUUGAAAAGAAAAAUAUGGAUAAUAAUUUUUCUGUACCUGUUUUUAAUAAACAUAUGAAAAUUAAUAAAUACAAACAUGUAGUAUCAGAUCAUAAUUUAUAUUUUACCACUCAAGACAAUCGAAGUGAGGUUAUUCCAUUAUCUCAUGGCUUGUUCGUGUGGUCUAAUCGCAAUAAUAAAAGUAGGAGUAAUGGUAGGAGUAUUGGUAGGAGUAUUGGUAGGAGUAUUGGUAGGAGUAGUGGUAGGAGUAGUGGUAGGAGUANNNNNNNNNNUGGUAGGAGUAUUGGUAGGAGUAGUGGUAGGAGUAGUGGUAGGAGUAGUCGUAGGAGCAGUGUUAGGAGUAGUCAUAGGAGCAGUGUUAGGAGUAUUGGUAGGAGUAAUGGUAAUUUUAAGACGUAUUUACGUUUUUUGCGAUAUAAUAAUAGUAUAAUAUAUAAAAAAAAUGAGGAUGAAUUUUUUUUUUUUAAAAAUAACAAUAAAAAUAUAACAAAUUAUAUAUAUAUUUAUUUUAUUAAUAUUAUUAAUAAGUUAAGCAAAAAUAAUAAAAAUAGUAAUAUAACAGAAUGGUUAUUUAAAAUAUUUUAUAAAAAUAAAUAUGUACAAUUCUUUGAUUUAUUUUUUCUUUUCGAUAGAAAUAGAAUGUAUAUGAUUUUGAGGGAUCCUUUUUUUUUUUUAAUUAAAAAAAUGAAAGAAAAACGUGAUAUUACAGAGUGUAUUGAUAAGUACAAUAUCACCCAAAGGUGUAUCAACAACAACACUCACAAACAUAACACUCAAAAACACAACACUCAAAAACACAACAUUAAUAACAAAAAUAAUCCACAAACAGAUGAAAAGAAAAAAAGUGAUAACAAGGAUGAUAGUUACCGUAGUGAUUACUUUUAUAUGAUCAGACAAGAAUUUUUCGAAACUUUUUAUUUUUUUCAACCUAAUAAAAAAUAUUACAGAAACGUCAAAUUGCUUUUUUAUUUCUCUCUUUUUAAUUUGUUUAAAAGUCAAAAAAUAAUAAAUUUAUUUAGGGAAAAAUGCUUAUUAUUUUUACACAUAGUUUGUGACAUUUUUUUUCAGAAAAACAAAAAAAAAAAAAAAACAAAGGUUUUUUUUGUUACUACUUCCGGGGAGAAAGAAAAAAAUAAAGCACAGAAUGAGAACAAAAAACAAAGGGAAAAUGAUAAUAAUGAAAAAAUAAUGGAAGACAAAAAAAAAAAAAAUAAAAUAAAAAAAAACGACAAGCAUGAUGAUGAUGAUGAUUUAAAAACUACCAACUCUUUAAUCUUAAACCUUAAAUUGGAUAAAAAUUUUAAUAAUAACAAACUUAAUGUCGUCGAAAGUGAGGAAAAUAGAAAAGACUAUAAUUUUUUAUGUAAUAAUAAAAACUACCUGAAUCGUACAGGUAAUAAUUCAACAUAUUCAAACAAAACGUUCAUUGAUCAAUCAUUGUCAUAUAACAUAUGUACAUUAUCAAAUAAUUACUUAGACAACUUAAUAGAAAUCAGAGACAACAAAUCAGAGUCUAUUUCAGAGGAAACAACUGAGUCUGAUCAAAUUACUGACGAAUGUUUUUCUUUUCUUUCACCUGUGUCAAGUGGACCUAUUAAAAAAAAAAUUGCAAAAAUUUAUAGGGACCUGUACAAUUCAGAAAAUAUAAAAAAAAUAAAAAAUAUAAUUAUAAACAUUGAAAAAAAAUAAAUAUGAACAAACUAAUUUUUCUUUUUUUUAUUUAUACAGAAUAGGAAUUUAUUGUAUGAAUUUUGGUUUUUUUAAGUAUAGCUGUAAAAUAUUUACUCGAAUUUUGUUUUUAGUUACUAACAAAGAUAUAAAAUUAUGGUGUAAAAUUUUGUUAGAUUAUUCUAAGUUUUUUAAUGUAAAAAAAAAAAAAAUUAUUAAAUAUAGCGUUAAGACGAAAAAAAAAAAAAAUUUAUUUGGACCUUUAAAAUAUUUGAAAAAUUCUGAACAGUUAAUAAAAAAAAUAUUUAAUUAUAAAGAAAAUGUUGU